UGUGUAUGUGUGGGUGCAUACAUAUAUGGAUGUGUAUGUACACACACACACACACACACACACACACAACAUG
Molecule: microRNA precursor, 73 nt
Filed under: Otolemur garnettii (small-eared galago)
Lineage: Eukaryota; Metazoa; Chordata; Mammalia; Primates; Galagidae
Description: miRNA (ENSOGAG00000024519.1)
Source: RNAcentral